GACGAACGCUGGCGGCGUGCCUAACACAUGCAAGUCGAGCGGGGGUGCCAAAGAGCAAUCGGAGGUAUUCCAGCGGCGGACGGGUGAGUAACGCGUGAGCAACCUGCCUUCUACUGGGGGAUAACGCAGCGAAAGCUGCACUAAUACCGCAUGAGACCACGGAGCCGAUGGCACUGGGGUCAAAGGAGCAAUCCGGUGGAAGAUGGGCUCGCGUCCGAUUAGGUAGUUGGCGGGGUAACGGCCCACCAAGCCAAAGAUCGGUAGCCGGCCUGAGAGGGUGAACGGCCACAUUGGAACUGAGAGACGGUCCAAACUCCUACGGGAGGCAGCAGUGGGGAAUAUUGGGCAAUGGGGGAAACCCUGACCCAGCAACGCCGCGUGAGGGAAGAAGGUUUUCGGAUUGUAAACCUCUGUUCUUGGUGAAGAGAAGAAGACGGUAACCGAGGAGGAAGCCCCGGCUAACUACGUG
Molecule: ribosomal RNA, 469 nt
Filed under: uncultured bacterium
Lineage: Bacteria
Description: bacterial SSU rRNA
Rfam family: Bacterial small subunit ribosomal RNA
Source: RNAcentral